This 215-nucleotide unclassified non-coding RNA is filed under the name Hevea brasiliensis (rubber tree). The record is from RNAcentral. Lineage: Eukaryota; Viridiplantae; Streptophyta; Magnoliopsida; Malpighiales; Euphorbiaceae.
GGCCAAGUGCAUUUCUGUAAUAUUUUAUUACUCUUCCUUUAUCACAUAUUCAUAGUUUCACUACAGCUCCUUCCCCAUGGACCAUUUUCUUUGAUGGAAUUCGGAAAUCCAUUCCUAUGUUUACAUUGCUUACUUUGGAUUUUGUAUUUUUCAUGCUGAUGGGUGUUUCUUGGCUUCAUUUGUUAUCUUGUCAGAGUUCAGAUGUUUAGAGAGUU